RNAcentral lists this ribosomal RNA (464 nucleotides) under uncultured Klebsiella sp. RNAcentral's name for it is "bacterial SSU rRNA". It matches the Rfam family "Bacterial small subunit ribosomal RNA", at positions 338 to 795 of the family's 1533-position model. The record is from RNAcentral. Lineage: Bacteria; Pseudomonadati; Pseudomonadota; Gammaproteobacteria; Enterobacterales; Enterobacteriaceae.
CCUACGGGUGGCUGCAGUGGGGAAUAUUGCACAAUGGGCGCAAGCCUGAUGCAGCCAUGCCGCGUGUGUGAAGAAGGCCUUCGGGUUGUAAAGCACUUUCAGCGGGGAGGAAGGCGUUAAGGUUAAUAACCUUGGCGAUUGACGUUACCCGCAGAAGAAGCACCGGCUAACUCCGUGCCAGCAGCCGCGGUAAUACGGAGGGUGCAAGCGUUAAUUGGAAUUACUGGGCGUAAAGCGCACGCAGGCGGUCUGUCAGGUCGGAUGUGAAAUCCCCGGGCUCAACCUGGGAACUGCAUUCGAAACUGGCAGGCUAGAGUCUUGUAGAGGGGGGUAGAAUUCCAGGUGUAGCGGUGAAAUGCGUAGAGAUCUGGAGGAAUACCGGUGGCGAAGGCGGCCCCCUGGACAAAGACUGACGCUCAGGUGCGAAAGCGUGGGGAGCAGACAGGAUUAAUACCCUGGUAGUC